GGGAAUCUGCCCCUUGGUUCGGAAUAACAGUUAGAAAUGACUGCUAAUACCGGAUAACGACGUAAGUCCAAAGAUUUAUCGCCGAGGGAUGAGCCCGCGUAGGAUUAGCUAGUUGGUGUGGUAAAGGCGCACCAAGGCGACGAUCCUUAGCUGGUCUGAGAGGAUGAUCAGCCACACUGGGACUGAGACACGGCCCAGACUCCUACGGGAGGCAGCAGUGGGGAAUAUUGGACAAUGGGCGAAAGCCUGAUCCAGCAAUGCCGCGUGAGUGAUGAAGGCCUUAGGGUUGUAAAGCUCUUUUACCCGGGAUGAUAAUGACAGUACCGGGAGAAUAAGCCCCGGCUAACUCCGUGCCAGCAGCCGCGGUAAUACGGAGGGGGCUAGCGUUAUUCGGAAUUACUGGGCGUAAAGCGCACGUAGGCGGCCUUGUAAGUUAGAGGUGAAAGCCUGGAGCUCAACUCCAGAAUUGCCUUUAAGACUGCAUCGCUUGAAUCCAGGAGAGGUGAGUGGAAUUCCGAGU
This 520-nucleotide ribosomal RNA is filed under the name uncultured bacterium. RNAcentral describes it as "bacterial SSU rRNA". It matches the Rfam family "Bacterial small subunit ribosomal RNA", at positions 120 to 674 of the family's 1533-position model. The record is from RNAcentral.